GUAGGUGGCAAGCGUUGUCCGGAUUUACUGGGUGUAAAGGGGGCGCAGACGGCGCGGCAAGUCCGGAGUGAAAUCCCAGGGCCCAACCCUGGGGCUGCUCUGGAAACUGCCGGGCUGGAGUGCUGGAGGGGCAGGCGGAAUUCCUAGUGUAGCGGUGAAAUGCGUAGAUAUUAGGAGGAACACCGGUGGCGAAGGCGGCCUGCUGGACAGCGACUGACGUUGAGGCCCGAAAGCGUGGGGAGCAA
RNAcentral lists this ribosomal RNA (245 nucleotides) under uncultured bacterium. RNAcentral describes it as "partial 16S ribosomal RNA". It matches the Rfam family "Bacterial small subunit ribosomal RNA", at positions 527 to 771 of the family's 1533-position model. The record is from RNAcentral.